RNAcentral lists this ribosomal RNA (507 nucleotides) under Triticum aestivum (bread wheat). RNAcentral's name for it is "partial small subunit ribosomal RNA". The record is from RNAcentral. Lineage: Eukaryota; Viridiplantae; Streptophyta; Magnoliopsida; Poales; Poaceae.
AUGUCGACGUCGGCCAUCUCGUCGGAGAACUCGCCGCCGGCAGCCGAACAGGUGGAUGGGGUAGGCAUUGUUCAGCACAGCUCCGAGUUCUACUUGGCAGACUCGACAUACUGUGGCUUGGAGCCGCGCUCGAAGCAUCGUUGCCCGAGGCACCAGCUAAUCCCGGCUUGUCGUGUCGCCUGGGGAGGCGCAAGCACUGAACGUCGUUUUUUGGGUUGCCCUCUGGAUUUGCCAGAUGAAUGUGAAUGGGCAGUUUGGGUUGACCCACCACCUCCAGAACGUGUUGGUCUUGCCUUUGAAGAACUGCACGAAGUGAUCGAACAUAGCUGGAUCAGAAGUCACCACCUGGAGAAGAGAUCAAUUGAUCUUGCGAAGAAGAAUCGUGCAUUGAACAAGGAGUUGAAGAAAAUGAAAGAAAUUAUGUGCAUAGGGACAAUGUUGUUUGCUAGCAUUUUCAUUUGUUUUCUAGCAAUCUCAAUGGCUGUCUGUGCACAGAAUGCACAUUAG